CCAGAAUAAAAAGAAGGCACUCUGGUCAAGUAUUGUUCAAAAGUAUGUGUAUACACCACUGAAUAUUUUAAAUAGACACAAAUUGAAUAUUAAACCAAACAAAUCAGUAACACAAAGAUUGUUCUUUUAAUAAUUUGUCAGAUGAAUGCAAACACUAUAUUAGUAAACCGAAAUCAGUCAAGUACCUGUUCGUUCCCCACAAUAUAUAUUCUAUGUCAAUGUUUUUUUUCUAUUCUAAAAUCUCGGAAACGAGAAGGAUCACUAACCGCUUUUGAUAUGUAUUUUAAAUAUGCACACUUCCUGUUUCCUGUUUUAUUCUUCGAACACAAUUUUAUUGGUUUAAAUUUAAAUCUACCUCGACAUUUAGAUUUACAUUAUAAAGGAUAAGUACUUUUACAAUAAGCACUACAGUAACAGCGGACACUUUAUUCAGAUAGUCGUUGAUGUGUCCCGUAAAAAAGAGAGGCGAGGAAUCGGGAAUACCAACCGGUCAAACCUGUUCACACUCAAAAGUCUAAAAAUAAAAACUACUAAAACGCAAAUUAUAGCUAGAAAAAGUAUGAAAAGGAUAAACAGACAAAACAACAGUUCACUAGACAAAUGCUAGACUAUAGUAAUCAGUUCAUAAAACUAAUUUUUUGAAAAAAUUGAGAAUGGAAAUGGGGAAUGUGUCAAAGAGACAACAACCCACCCAUAGAACAAACAACAGUCAAAGGUCACCAAUAGAUCUUCAAUGCAGCAAGAAACUCCUGCAUAUGUUUACCUUGUUGAACUGUAUCCAUUUAAAAAAAUACCAAGUAAACAAAUAAAUCUGUGACAAUACUGGUUCUAUUGGUCAUGUUGGUACAAAGUUGAUUAAUGCUCCAAAUAUAUCAGAGUAUUAUUCUUCUUCUUCUUCCAAAUCUUCACAUCCUUUGUAGGACAACCACACCGUUAAGGCAUGUAAAACAAAACCCACCACCAUACAAGUAGGAAUAUAUUUACACUAUAAUUUGAAUAAUUCCAUCCUCCACCGCUAUAUACAGGAUCACUUUUGUAGUUUCACAUAUAUCUUGUUGUAUGUAUUCUUAGUUGCGUUUAAAAUUGUUAGGCUAGUUACCGGACAUAUAUACAAUGGGAUUAUAUAUGUUUACGUAGUAAAAUAGUUCAUUCUUAAGAGACAAUGUAGUAAAAUAGUUCAUUCUUAAAAGACAAUGUUGUAAAAUAAGUUGCUACACUCAAGUUCGCAC
This 1229-nucleotide long non-coding RNA is filed under the name Mytilus galloprovincialis (Mediterranean mussel). Lineage: Eukaryota; Metazoa; Mollusca; Bivalvia; Mytilida; Mytilidae. The record is from RNAcentral.